Molecule: non-coding RNA, 20 nt
Filed under: Arabidopsis thaliana (thale cress)
Lineage: Eukaryota; Viridiplantae; Streptophyta; Magnoliopsida; Brassicales; Brassicaceae
Also listed under: 2 other names
Source: RNAcentral
UUAGUGACGCGCAUGAAUGG